CAUCUGGGUGCUUCGCCAUCCGCUGCACCAUCCGGGCGAUCCAGGCGUUGGCUUAACUACUACCACAAGGUUCUACAAAACAUAAUCAAACUUGCACAAGCGCAGUUACUGCUUACAACAAUAUGCAUAAUAUAAUUGAAUCCUACUCGAUUUGUUCAACAUUAACAAUUUUGACCAUCACUUAUUACACUCUCCAACAUGGCACAUCACACCUUUGUGCCAGUGCAGGCAUCGCAGGGGCUGCCUGCUGCUCAUUUGUGACCCACACCCAUCUUGUAGUGAUGAUAAAAGAAGAAGUACCUCACAAACCAGUCUCCAGCUUGGUCUGACAGGUAAGUAGGCACUUACAGACUGGAUAACUGGGUGCAUUCCCUCAUAUUUCAAGCACAGGAGCAGGGGGGAGGAAAGGCAGGCAGCACCUCUCUCUGGGCUGUGCUCAGACAAGUAGGUUGAGCACCACUGAGGCCCCACCUGGAGCCCUGAGGACUGUGCAGGGUGAGCUCUAGGUGCUUUGUGUUUCUCUGAAAUCCUGACUAUGGUGCUGGUGAGCAAAGGAGUCAAAACACAUUGUCCAGUUAUCUGUUAAACCUGGCUUUUUCUUCCUGUAUGGAAGCAUGCUGCUCCCAGAGCUUGAGUACCUUCCAAAAGGCAAAAGCCAUGCAGAUCCAUAUGUAGCUUGGUUUUUGACUUGGUGCACGGGUACACUUUGUUCUGUUGGAUUUGCAUGUUUAAGUACACUUGAAUAAAGCAACUCACUAAAAAAAUUCCUUUACUUUUGAAAAUUUGUUUAGCAGUGAUUACAUUUUUUUCUGAGACUGUUUUUCCCACAUUACUGAUAUUGGAUGGACCACAGCAACUUAUUCUGUAUGUUCUAGGAGAAGGAGGGAAUGUAGUAUUGUCACAGUUCAUGAGCAACACACACAACAUUAUUCCAGCAGGAGUCUGCCAAGUUUAAAAAAAUAUAUCAGGCAGAUAUUUAUUUAUUUUUGUCAGUCAUCUCUGGCAAAACCAUGUAAACUCAGAUGCCCUGUGAACUGUUUCUUUGGUUUACUAUGAGAGAUGCACUUCGUUAGAGAAAACAGAAUAAUCCACUCUUUUUUUUCUUUCUUUUUUUUUUUUUUUUUUUUAAAUAAUAUUAGGUUUUUGACAGAGAAUUUAUUUGGUUUCCAAUAGAUAGUUAUUUAUUUGCUACUAACUAGCUUUCCUGCAUUCCCUGGAGAAAGCUCCAUUAAAACUCUUAAUGUGACACCACAUAUUUUUACUAGACUAGAAAAUAGUUACAAUUUUAAUUUAAAUUGAAAUGACUGUGUAAUGCCUGGACAAAUCAUUCUCAGAUCCCUGGAGCUCUUAAUUGUAAUUCUCCGUUGUUUCUACGCAUAAAUUUUCUUUUCAAGUGCUCAUUCUGAAAUACUGUUUUUUUUUUUUUUUAUGUUCUGUACUAAUUUAAUAGUUUUUUAUGGUUAACAAUUCCAUGAUUAAACUUUUAUGUUAAAUAUAAAUGGUGGAAACAAUAAGCUUAUUCAAGUGCUGGGAAAAUAAAGUGUUUAUAUUUUGAGAUUAACUCAAAGAACUUCUUUUUGCAGAAGGAAAGGGAAGAAAAAUGUCUUACUGAAAGUAAUGGGAAAAUUACAUUGUAUUUCCAUGGCAGAAGAGCAAUAACCGUGCUCUAACAAGCGUCUCUUCUUCAGCCUUUCUUACUGCCUUGAGUCAUCAUGACAUAAAAUAAAGUUUUACCCAAUAGCUCCCAGAAAAGUAAUCAAGGUAGUUCUUCUCAUGCAUCACCCAUGUUCUGAUUCAAUUUGGGCUGCCCCAAGGAUGGGGAGGAAGGACCAAGGCGCAUCACCUGCUUCCUGGGAGACGGUGUCCAUCCCAGCCUGAGAGCCCCAAGGGAAGGUGUCUGCACCUGCUUCACACUGGGUUACCUUGGUUUUCAAAGUCCACCUGAGACAGAUACACCUGCAAAUCCCUGUCCUCAGCACUAGCUCUUGGGGUUUGAGGAAUGCAAAUUGCUGUCUUCAAUGGACCGUCAGCUUCAACAGCAAGAUGAGGGUGAACCUUCAGAUCAUCAGAAGGCAUCACAAUCUAAAGGAACCUUCAGCUAUUGGGGAAAGGAGGAAGUAAUGGAAAACAUUCAGCAUUGCUUCAGUAGUCAUUUCCAGGGUUUGGGCUUCACAGGUGAGCUGGGAAAACAUAAGCAAGUUGGUGGAUAUGUUGGUCUUCAGUGCUAGCAAGGGGAAAAUUAGGUAAGAUAAAGCAAAGCGCCCAAAUGGGGAAGAAUAAAGUGUCUGCUUGCUGUUGGUAGUAACAACCUUAUUUUGAAAUGUGGAAAUCUGCAGUCAAAUCUCCCAAACUCUCUCAGUAUCACUGUGUAGUGAUACUUCACAGCCUCCUAAUGCAAAUGUUGAGGGUAAUACAGGUUUUCUCUUAAUUAAAAGCUCAGCAGUUAGAAACUCAUCUAUUUUUAAUUAAUUGUGUAGUAAUAGAUUUUCAGUUUUGUUUAACUUGUGGUAUAAAAAAGAGAUUUAAUGUUAGGAUCUAGGCUGCUUAGAUAAAAUCCUGUUCAGUGCAUACCUAUUUAAUAAAACCGUAAAGCAAAAAGCAACAGAAUGACACUAUACAGAUUAACUCAUUUUUAGAGAAACAGUACCAUGAAAGGUGGCUGCUGGGUGUGCACAGAAAAGAAAGGCAGGGAGGAGAGUCCUGACCCAUUGUGGUGUGGGAGUCAGAUGACUGACAUCAGAUGUGGACCCCACAAAGGGCAGCAGCAUGUGCAGCAGGGACAACUCUUCUGUCCCCUUGUAGAAGCUUGUGCCAGACAGGUGAUUUUGGAGGGCUCCCACCUUGCUUGGGGGAUGAAGGGCAUUUUAGGAAAGGAGGAAGGAGAACAGGGUGCCCUGCAGCUGGAGCAGGCUCCUGCUUUUCUGCAUGACCAUCUGCUCUCCCCCAUUGUAGGUACCGGCUCAGGAGAAGAAGGCUUGUGCUGCUGUGGGGGAAGUUGGGCUGGUGUGGGUCCCCAGGGCUGGGGAGAAGGGGUGCUGCUGGUGGAGGAGCUGCCCCUGGGGCACAGCACCAGGAAGGGGCUGGCAGCCCCUCCAGCAGUGGUGAGUGCUUUUAGCUAAACAUCUCAAGCAUGGUCUGGUGGGUGCUCAGCACCUGCUCGUGUAAAUCACAUGGGGUGUCUGGGCAUGUACAUUGGCUACAGGUCAAAGUAGCUGCAGAUGCACACAAUGUGCAGAGUGGGCAAUUUCAGAAUCCCCAGACCCAGAAUCCUUGGCCCCUAAUGCUGUGAGCCCCAGGCUGCCCAGCCAUGUGGAUGCGCGGGCUGCAAGCGGUGAAGCUGUUGACAGUGAAUGCGAGGAUGUGAUUAUUAACACUGAUCUCACACACAACCCUGCUGAGUCUGGGGAUGGUGGCAGUGGCAGGGGACAUUGCCUGCAUGCUGGUUGCUCACGCUCUGGUGGAGUGGGUGGUCAAGUGACAUGAAAAGCAGCCAUGAGCUGGUUUGCAGGUCACUGGGCUCCUCUGGAGCUGGUACUUGAUCCUGGGCAGGGGUUUUCCCUGUGCUCUUACACAGACCAAGCCUGGGACAAGAGCAGCUCCGUGCAGCUGAUGUGAGUGCUUGGUUUGCUGGCCCAUCCCCAUGGCAAGCUAGCCAGGAGCCACUGCAGAUCAUUCUGUGUGGAAGCAGAACAUGAGUCUUCCUGACUUUGUAUUCAGGGUCAGGGAGAUGUUCUGUUCAACCUGAAGCAAAAUGCAUAUCUUGACUUACAGACAGAUGUCCCCCCCAGAAAGGAGCUGACACAGUAGCAAGGGGAGAGAAAUCAUUUAAAUAUACCUACAGUGGAUGAUUAAAAAAAAAAAAAAAAAAAGAAAAAGAAAAUCCAACCACCCUAACAUUUAAAAGAAACCUCCCUCUGCAACAGAGCACCUUGCAGACCUGUGUUGGCUCUGGAGACGGCUGUUACCUCCAUGAAGGAUGGAGGGGCUGACAUGUCAAGGGAAGCCAGAGAUGGCACCUCAGUUGCCCAGGUUGCUUUCAAGUUGCGUAUACCUCUGUGUGCGGCUUUUUGCCAUGUGCUGUAACUUCUCAAUUUUGACCUGCUUUUAAGCAGUAUAAUCAACUUUUCUUCCUUUUUUUUUUUUUUCUAUUAUUUUUCUGCAACAAGUUUGCAAACUCAAGGAUCUUUUGGGUAUCCCUAUCCACUUAUGUUGCUGAGUUGGACGUCUCACUAAAAAUGAGGUGGCUAAGGCUCAGGAGUUGUAAAUCAUUACUUAGUGGGAGAAUUUGUAGGUAAAAUCAUAAUAAAGUGAUUGUCAUCUUUCUUGGACAUCAGACACUAGUCACAGCCUGAUGCACUGAAUGAACCUGUAUGGCUGCUCUUAUUUUCUUCCUUUGCUGGGAGAAGUUAUUCUAACUAUGUGUAUGGUUUCCUUCAGGAAUGGUGUUAGAGAUAAAACUUCUUUCUUUUGAAAAAGACAAACUCAAGAGCUUUUACAGCCCUGCAACACCCUGCCCCCCCCCUCGCUGAGUGUAACUAAAGUGGCCAGGGAGUUUUUGGUUUAUCAAAUGGAAUUGAUUAAAAUUGAUACCAAGGAUUGCUUAAGGUAAAUUAAUCGAGUUGAUUAGGUAGGGCUCAGGUGGUCAUGGGCAGGUCAUGAUGAUCUCUAGGUUGCUGCUGGCAUGCCAAGGUUUAUUAAAAUGAUAAAGUUACAAAGGAGAAAGAUCCUGCUUACUAUGCACAGAACAGAAAGGAAAAAAAGGUUAAUCAACCAAUCAUAAACAUAUAAAUGAGCACAAGCUCAUCUUGAAAAGCAAUUGCUUUUCUGGGCAUAUUCAUUCAACAAUGGUAGGCUAUGCUUUUGAAUCAUGUCUCUAGCAGAGACACAAUUAGCACCAAGAUGGCCUCUUUAUGUCCUACCAAAUGUAAACAAAAUAAAAAAAUUCCCUUUCAAAUACAUCCUGUUCAGUGAUUUUCAUAUAUUAAUACAUUUUACAUUAAUUUAAUAACAGAAUAUAUCUUUAAGGAUAUGCCUGGUAAAUAAUUAGUAAAACUCAAUUUAACAGCAGUGUGACAAACCUUUCCCCCAAAGGAUGCCGAGCAGUAUGUUGUAUUUUCUGCAACAAGCAAUCUGAAUAUUGCUGUGGAUGCAACCUCUCUAAGCUUAUUGUUGAGCCUCCUGUAGAAAGGACCCAACCAGGAUGUUAUCACAUUUGAAGCUAUGACAGAUUUACAUUUUCCGUAGGGUUUUGCACUUUCAACAAGAGAAUAAUGGCAUCUCCACAUGUUCUGUCCCUUCCUGACCAGAGUUGCCUCGAAAGUGUGAAAGAUGUCUGUCUGUCAUGGCCUCCACCCCACUGAGCAGGACCCAGGGAAGUUUGAAGCUAGAUAUUUCCCUGAGAACCUGGGGACCACCAUGGUGUGUGAGGAAAUAAAGGAUCACCACAUGCAACUCCCUCUUCUCCAUGAGACCUCCACACCUCUGUUGGCUAUGGUUCUCCUGAACGCAUAUCUGUCACCAGUGACUCUUUUCUAACACGUCCCAGCAGCCCAUGGCUUGUGAUUCUUCUGAGACAAAGGGUGCAGCACCAGGCAGCAGCAUCCCAUGGUCUCACUUGGGCAGCGGGUGAGAGCCCCAGGGGCUGAGAUCAGGUCCUGGGCUACAGUGAAGGUUUGGGGCGGGCUUUACGGGGGGCCACUCAGAGCUGCUCAUGUUCUCAGGGCCCUGACACUGAGCCCUUCUGUGAGCAGGACCACAUGUGCCUGAGAUUCCCUGAGCUUUUCUCCUUUCUGUAUUACAACUUGCUUUUAUCUCUCCUUCCAUUUGAGUGUUCCCUGUCGGAGGCAUCUUGAUCCUGGUGCUGCAGGAAGCCCUCUCCAGCAUGGACCACAGCGCAAACCUUUCCAGUUUCGCCACACAUCUCACUCUUUGCACAGAGCCAGGCAGCUUCUAUGAUUCCAUUUCCCUCCCACACAUUGGUUGGAGGCUACUGGGACAGGACUGAAAAAUCUCACAGAGGCCAAAAGAGCAGAAGUUGCAGUUUUUCUCCAUGUAAAUGCUUUGCAAUAGUGUCUUGCUUCUGAGAGUUAUAUCUGUGCCAGAAUCCAAAAGAUAAUGCAAAUUCUACAUCCUCUGCAAACUCUUCUCCUGAACCAUAAUUUUUAUUUAUUUUUUUCAAUGUUUCUCUGUUCCUUUGAUGUGCACUAGGGGCUGGGAUGGGCUUCUCUUGGACUGCUUCCGAAAGACCAGUCCUCUUAGCAUUUCCUGGCACCUGGAACUGUCCAUAGUUUUAGCUCUGAAGCACACCAAGCAGAGAGGAUUUGAUCCAGGUACAUGGAUGGAGACCCCAGCCACAGUCUGUUUGGGAGGGACCACUUCUGCAGACAUGUCAGCUGUUGGAAACACGAAAACGUAGGAAUAUUCUGAGUGUAAAGGGUUGAAAAAUGAUGAAGCUGCCUGUUUCACACCCUGCUCAUGGUACACACACAGCAGAAGAGGAGAUCUGGUUUCUGCUGUAUUUCCUGGUUGGUCAGAGCUUCUCAACAUCCCCAGCCUUGGCUCCUGCAGAUGAUGGCACCAGAACCUCCUGUCCCUGCCUGAGUCCUUCCCAGGGAACUGAGCUGGCUAAGCUGCUGUUCAGCACUGAUCGAGGAGAGAGCACAUAUACAUGUACUUUACAUCGCAACAGGCCCAGGGACAAGGCGCUGACAAUAUACGCUCCAUACAGGAGAACAUGUAGUUGUGUGCUUAGCGUGUGUUUUUCUGAGUGUGGAAAUCGACCUUCUGAUCCCAUCCUUAAAGUGUUGCCUGUCAGUCUGUCUAGAUGUCAACUGGCUUGACAAACUGGUGGAGAGGAACCACGUGAAGUUCAACAAAGGGAAAUGCCAAAUACUGACCCUGGGGACAAACAAUUCCAGACACCAGCAUAUGCUGUGGACCACCCAGGUAGAAAGUGGCUUGGAAGAAAUAGCCCUGUGAGUCCUGGUGGACACCAAGCUGACUGUGAGCCAGCAAAGAAGGCGAUGGCAUCCUGGGCAAAGUGCCUCUAGAAGGUCAAGGGAAGUAAGCCUUCCUCUCUGCUCAGUGCUGGUGACACAUGUCUGGAGUGGUAUGUCCAGCACUGGGCCUCCCAAAACUAUGGUGGUGAUGAAGUGACUGGAGCAUCUCUCCUAUGAGUACAGGCUGAGAGACAUGGGACUGCUCAGCCUGGGGAAGAGGAAGCCCAGCUGGAUCUUAUCCAUGUGAAUAAAUACCUGGUGAGAAGAAUGAACAUGAGGGAGCCAGGUUGUCUUCAGUGGUGCCCAGUGAUAGGACCAGAGGCAACAGGCAUACACAGAAAUAUGUGAAGUUUCCUCUGGAGAUCAACAAGCACUUUGUCACUGUGAGGGUGACUGAGCAGCAGUCCAGGGAGGUCGUGGGGUCCUCCUUGGAGAUGUCCAAAACCCAAACGGACACCACUGCUAGGUGACCCUGCUUGAGCCAGGGGGUUUGGCUGUGUGAUCUCCACGAGUUCCCCCCAACAUCCAGCAUUCUGAGAUCUGAGUCUGAGACCAGAGAUUUUCACAGAAAGAGUAAUUAAAGGAAACUUUUACCUUCUGCUACAAUAAAGGCCAUAACAUGACUGGGUUUUCUAAGGAAGUUGAUAAACCUUGAUCCAGACAGGAAUGAGGCAGCUGCUGGGUAACUGAGAGUGCUGUCAGAAAGCAUACGUAUACAAUACUUGGUAGCUCUAUGAAAACAAUGUUUUUCCGCAAAACCAAAUUAUUGCCAAGUAUUAUGAAAGACUUGAAAAUCUGGAACAGAAACCAGGAGCUGCUCAAUGUCUUGUGUUCCUGGGCAUGCACGUAUUUGUGCAAGAAAAAAUGGGACUGUUGACACACGUUGUGUUUUGUUAUUCUAGCUAUUACUUGGAAGCUGUUCAAACAUUUUCAGUGAGGUCUGGAUGGGAAUUUGUUUCCAUCCCAUGGUUAAGCUUGUUGAAGCAGGAGUGCUCCUUUCUGUCAUGAUGCCAUGAGCACAUUUGCUUUUCUGUCCUCAUUCUGCUGCAUGUUUGCUAUUUCAGUAAGAUGUAGUGAGACUGAACAGUGGAUUCAUAUUAAGCAGUGAGGUUUUUUUUUCUAAAAGUGUUUUAUACAUACUCAGAGAAUAAAUUAUUCGUCUACUCUGACACGGACAAUCCUGUGCCAGGAGAAGUACACUUCAGUCAAUAUCAUUACCACAUGCAGCUGCUAAAAUAUUUCAAAAAAAAAAGACCCAAACCAACUCAUAGAGGAGGCUCCCGUUCAGGAUGGCACCCUCCAGGUGUAGAGGAGAUAUCAAGUCUGCAUUCGUCUGUGGCUGUGGCCGUAUAUAAAGAAAUCCAUAGUUGUUACCCAGUCAGCAGCUCCCAUGAAAAUAGUACAUAAUAGAUUUAAGAGCAGUUAAACUAGAUUUGGGAGGCUGUGUAGAACUUGUAAGCUUGUGACAAGUCACCAUGCCUGCAGAAAGGUGGGGAUGGUUGAUCAGAAUGUUGGUCAAGUGUUAAGCCUGGAAUCUGAAUCCCUGUCAACACCAACAAGAAUUUCUUAUACAUGGUCAGUGAUUAAAUGAAUUUGGUUCUAAAGGAACUGAAAGAGCAAAAAAAAAGCUCACACCAAAUAAACCAAAUCUGCACAAUGUUGUGAAGAGAGAUGUCCUUGGCGUUUUAAAACUGUUCUAGAAGAGGGAUAUAAUUAUCUGGUAAAAGCUAUUGGUUAUAAUUUUCUAUUAGUUGUAUAGGACACUUCCAUUAUGGAAGGUCACUUUUCUCCAGCUACUAUAUUGCAUUUUGUACAACAAAGUACUCAUAGGAUGUGACAUUUGGUGUUCUGCAAAAUAAAUUACAAUUCUUGUGCUGUGAGAGCAGCUAAAAAUAGGCAAGAGAGAGCAGACGAUUCUCUUGCAGCAUAUGCCAUUUUUAAAUGCAGGCAAAGAUCCCGGCUUUAUGGGGUGGAAGUCUGAACACUCAUGUGUACAGCCAGGGCUUUCUUACUUGCUGAUGUGUGCUUUCAUCUUGUGAGGAUGUCAUGGUUCCGUGUUAAUAAAUACCAGUUUCCAUGCCUUGUA
Columba livia (rock pigeon) is the source of this 9084-nucleotide long non-coding RNA. RefSeq lists it as uncharacterized. Lineage: Eukaryota; Metazoa; Chordata; Aves; Columbiformes; Columbidae. The record is from RefSeq and is a predicted model, not a curated record. The transcript is spliced from 3 exons.